Molecule: ribosomal RNA, 355 nt
Filed under: Aulonogyrus conspicuus
Lineage: Eukaryota; Metazoa; Arthropoda; Insecta; Coleoptera; Gyrinidae
Description: partial 12S ribosomal RNA
Source: RNAcentral
UUUAAAUGUAAAUUUUUGAACUAAAUUAGUAAUAGAUAUGAUCUUCAAAUUUAAAGAUUUUGGCGGUAUUUUAGUCUAUUCAGAGGAACCUGUUCUGUAAUUGAUAGUCCACGAUUAACUUUACUUAAUUUUAAAAAUUUGUAUAUCGUUGUUUAUAGAAAAUUUUAUAAGAAAAAUAAUUUUUAAUAAAUUUAAUUAAAUUAUAAAUCAAAUCAAGGUGCAGUUUAUAGUUAAGGUAGAAAUGGGUUACAAUAAAUUUAUUUAUUAAUGGAUAUAAAUUUUAAAAUUUUAUUAAAAGUGGAUUUGAUAGUAAUAUUAUUUAAUUUAAUAAUAUGAUUAUAGCUCUAAAAUAUGU